AAUAGAUACCCUGGUAGUCCAUCGCCGUAAACGUUGGGCACUAGGUGUGGGGCUCAUUCCACGAGUUCCGUGCCGCAGCAAACGCAUUAAGUGCCCCGGCCUGGGGAGUACGGCCGCAAGGCUAAAACUCAAAGGAAUUGGACGGGGGCCCGCACAAGCGGCGGAGCAUGCGGAUUAAUUCGAUGCAACGCGAAGAACCUUACCAAGGCUUGACAUGCACGGGAAGCCACCAGAGAUGGUGGUCUCUUUGGACACUCGUGCACAGGUGGUGCAUGGUUGUCGUCAGCUCGUGUCGUGAGAUGUUGGGUUAAGUCCCGCAACGAGCGCAACCCUCGUCCCAUGUUGCCAGCGGGUUAUGCCGGGGACUCAUGGGAGACUGCCGGGGUCAACUCGGAGGAAGGUGGGGAUGACGUCAAAUCAUCAUGCCCCUUAUGUCUUGGGCUUCACGCAUGCUACAAUGGCCGGUACAAAGGGCUGCGAUACCGUAAGGUGGAGCGAAAUCCCGAAAAAGCCGGUCUCGAGUUCGGAUUGGGGU
Molecule: ribosomal RNA, 535 nt
Filed under: uncultured bacterium
Lineage: Bacteria
Description: bacterial SSU rRNA
Rfam family: Bacterial small subunit ribosomal RNA
Source: RNAcentral